CCUACGGGUGGCAGCAGUGGGGAAUAUUGCACAAUGCGGGAAACCCUGAUGCAGCAACGCCGCGUGAGUGAUGACGGCCUUCGGGUUGUAAAGCUCUGUCUUCAGGGACGAUAAUUACGGUACCUGCGGAGUUAGCCACGGCUAACUCCGUGCCAGCAGCCGCGGUCAUACUUAGGUGGCGCGCGUUGUCCGGAUUUACUGGGCGUAAAGGGAGCGUAGGCGGGCUUUUAAGUGACAUGUGAAAUACUCGGGUUCAACUUGCGGGCUGCAUUUCAAACUAGAAGCCUAGAGUGAGGGAGAGGAGAAUGGAAUUCCUAGUGAAGCGGUGAAAUGCGUAGAGAUUGGGAAGAACACCAGAGGCGAAGGCGAUUCUCUGGAGUGAAACUGACGCUGAGUCUCGAAAGCGUGGGGAGCAAACAGGAUUAGAUACCCGGGUAGUC
Molecule: ribosomal RNA, 440 nt
Filed under: uncultured bacterium
Lineage: Bacteria
Description: partial 16S ribosomal RNA
Rfam family: Bacterial small subunit ribosomal RNA
Source: RNAcentral